GAAUUGGUAUAUUCAUUGCAUUCUCUUAUCUGGGUGCGGGCACAAACUCAAGAAGCUCAUCUCUUCAUUUCACCACUCAGACGUGAGCAGCAGAGGAAGUAAGCAGCAAUUCAGUUUAUGCUUCUUCUCUGUCUCCUCUUUUCUUUCUUAUCUAAGAGCAGAGAGAUGUCUUUCAUGGAACUUGUGGGUCUGACUCCGAUAAUUUGUAGCUCUUGCAAAAGUAUUGCUACAAGGGUGAGCA
Molecule: unclassified non-coding RNA, 241 nt
Filed under: Hevea brasiliensis (rubber tree)
Lineage: Eukaryota; Viridiplantae; Streptophyta; Magnoliopsida; Malpighiales; Euphorbiaceae
Source: RNAcentral